RNAcentral lists this ribosomal RNA (408 nucleotides) under uncultured bacterium. RNAcentral describes it as "partial 16S ribosomal RNA". It matches the Rfam family "Bacterial small subunit ribosomal RNA", at positions 28 to 526 of the family's 1533-position model. The record is from RNAcentral.
GACGAACGCUGGCGGCGUACUUAACACAUGCAAGUCGAACGGAGUGGCGAACGGGUGAGUAACACGUGGGUGACCUGCCCUGCACUUCGGGAUAAGCCUGGGAAACUGGGUCUAAUACCGGAUAGUGUGGGAUGGGGCCGCGGCCAAUCAGCUUGUUGGUGGGGUAAUGGCCUCCCAAGGCGGCGACGGGUAGCCGGCCUGAGAGGGUGGACGGCCACAUUGGGACUGCGGCAGGGCCCAGACGGCUACCGGAGGCAGCAGGGGGGAGUAUUGCACAAUGAGCGGAAGCCUGAUGCAGCGACUCCGGGUGGGGGAUGACGGCCUUCGGGUUGGAAACGCCGGUCGCCAUCGACGCGGUAGAUGGAGAAGAAGCACCGGCUAACUACGUGCCAGCCGCCGCGGUAAUUC